UCAGCCACUUACUUAGCUAUUUAACUUUUCUGUUGUUUCAAUUUUUUCUGCUAUUUAGCUUUUUCAGUCAAGCAACGUGUUUGCUUUUGCACAAUUGCAGCAAAGGACAGCUGACGAUUUUAGUGGCUGCACCUUGUGUUAAACAGCUUUUCCUUCAAUUUUUUCUGCUAUUUAGCUUUUUCAGUCAAGCAACGUGUUUGCUUUUGCACAAUUGCAGCAAAGGACAACUGACAAUUUUAGUGGCUGCACCUUGUGUUAAGCAGCUUUUCUUUAUUUUAAUAUUUUACCUAUUACUUUUAUAUUGUUAGUUGAUAUGGGAC
This 320-nucleotide long non-coding RNA is filed under the name Theobroma cacao (cacao). RNAcentral describes it as "long non-coding RNA (TCAC_LNC002769)". The record is from RNAcentral. Lineage: Eukaryota; Viridiplantae; Streptophyta; Magnoliopsida; Malvales; Malvaceae.